GAACAGUUAACAUAUAUUUCAAAUUCUGUAACAGAAACCUGUGGUAAAAAUGGUGAAGACCCAGCAAGUUUCAUUGGCUAUUCUGUGGCUUCGGUUACACUAGGUAAGUGGUAAAAAUGGAGUGGAGCAGAGUCCCCGAUACCUGAGCGCCCAGGAGGGUACAAUCAACUGUAAUUACUCAGAAGGAAUGAUCACCUUACAGUUGUUGCAACAGAAUCCUGGAGGAGGCAUCAUCUCCUUGCUUAUUCUGAGCCUAGAGAUGAAGAGGAAAGGAAGAAUAAGUGCCACAAUAAACAGGAGGGAACGUUCAGCUCCCUGCACAUCACAGCCUCCCAGGCCACAGACUCUGCCAUCUACUUCUGUGCUGGAGGCAAUCAAUUAUACUUUGGAACAGGAACUAGACUCACCAUCACAGCCAAAAUCAAGGACCCCAACCCCACUGUGUACCAGCUGAGAAGCCCCAAGUCCAGUGACACUUCUGUCUGCCUGUUCACCGAUUUUGACUCUGAAGUCCAGCUGACACAAAUCACGGGGAGCAAGUGGAACAUGAUGCACAAGACAAAUAGCACUGCGCUCAACAUGGAGAUCCUGGGAUCCAAGAGCAACGGGAUAGUGACCUGGGGAAACACCAGCGAUGCUGGAUGCGAAGACACCUUCAGCAAGGACAUUCACGUAGCCCCCAGCGACGGAAUCACCUGUAAUGCCAAGCUGGUAGAGAAAAGCUUUGAAACAGAUAUGAACCUAAACUCCCAGAACCUGUCAGUGAUCGGGUUCCGCAUCCUCCUCCUGAAGGUGGUCGGGUUUAACCUGCUCAUGACGCUGCGGCUCUGGUCCAGUUGAGGUCACCGACAGCCUGAGAGCCCCAUGCUCCCUCGCCCCUUGCUCCUCGUCGCCCUUCCUCUCCCUCUCUAAGCAGAGGCGCACUCUCUGCCCCUGUGGAUGAGAAGGCUCCCUCCUCCUCUCUGGCCUGGCUGGCCAUACCACCAACUGAAUCCUCCAGAUACUGGCGAUCAAGAUGCUGACAAGCUGCCCAGCACAGCUGCCACCCACUCUGUUCCUCACUGCUGCUUGUCACUGCCUGGCAUUCUUGGCAAAGUUGGGGGGCUGCUGCAGCCUCUCCUGGCUGUAGGGACACUCCCUCCCCACCCCCACCCCCCAGAGGCUGCCGCUGAUGUCCCACUGGAUGGUGGAUCCCCAGUGGGUUCUCUUGGGAUCUAGCUCCCGGAGAAUGUUGUGUGGUGUUUAUAUUUUUUACAUAGUGUUUAUAAAAAAAUAUAUAUCACCCUUUUUCCCAAGAUGUGGGGAAAAAUUAUCUUUUCAUGAUCUAGGCCCUGCUCUGCUGUGUAUUUGAGCCACAUUGUAUAUUCUGCUGCCAAGGCUUCAAUAAAAGCGAUUUGGAAGAGA
Odocoileus virginianus texanus is the source of this 1404-nucleotide non-coding RNA. The record is from the annotation of a RefSeq genome assembly. NCBI's taxonomy places the organism in Eukaryota, Metazoa, Chordata, Mammalia, Artiodactyla, Cervidae.